UAUGAAGAGGAGUGAUUUCAGGUCAAGAAUUGAUCCAAUACCACCCCUCAAUGAAGAAAAUGGAAGAGAAAACUAGGGUCGGUUUGUUGGAAAGGGAUAUAUAGGAUUGUCAU
Molecule: microRNA precursor, 113 nt
Filed under: Medicago truncatula (barrel medic)
Lineage: Eukaryota; Viridiplantae; Streptophyta; Magnoliopsida; Fabales; Fabaceae
Description: miR2665 stem-loop (mtr-MIR2665)
Source: miRBase by way of RNAcentral